GCGUACCUGUCUUAUCGUCAUCCGGGGCUAUGAUCAAGAUGGCUUCCUAUUUACAUCUCUGUGGUGAAAGUUGCAUUUCCGUGUUUUCUCACGGAAGUUUGCUCUCUGUUUUCUGAAACGUUACAGACAGUCUUCAAACUUUCUACAGGUUUUUGUCAAGAGGAGAAAGAUGGAUUGCAUUUGGUAGGAGAUUCUUUUUUGAGUACAGAAUUGAUGACCGCGUUUUGCCGUGUGUCGCCAUUCUGCCGUGAGCAGUAAACUGGAGCAAGGAAUGAACGAAUAGAUUACAGACGGACAAGCAAAAGUGAGUAAACCACGAUACAGUGCAUGUUUGUAUCUAGCUCGGUCUGACUCUGUCUCUUUCUGUCAAUCUGUUUUUUUGUUUGUCUGUCUAUCAGACUGUACUUUAGUGGGUGGUUG
Molecule: long non-coding RNA, 420 nt
Organism: Aplysia californica (California sea hare)
Lineage: Eukaryota; Metazoa; Mollusca; Gastropoda; Aplysiida; Aplysiidae
Exons: 3
Source: RefSeq, a predicted model, not a curated record